This 306-nucleotide signal recognition particle RNA is filed under the name Brassica oleracea var. oleracea. RNAcentral's name for it is "SRP RNA Plant_SRP". It matches the Rfam family "Plant signal recognition particle RNA". Lineage: Eukaryota; Viridiplantae; Streptophyta; Magnoliopsida; Brassicales; Brassicaceae. The record is from Rfam by way of RNAcentral.
GUCGAGCUCGGUAGUGUGGGCUUGUAAUCCAAGUGGAGACGACAAGAUGAUGGGACGUUGGGUCGAUCUCAUUGGGCCGGGUUUGGUUGGGCUUAUUAUGGCCUGCCCAUUCCAAGUUGGGAGUUGAAGCAUGCGGGCUUGAGCGAAGGCUCAGGUCACGUGUUUCUUAUAGUGGGGGAGACUGCGUGAGGCUGGUUUCACAGAGCAGCGUACACCUCCCGCUCUUGACGGUGGAAGGAUAACGGGCCUUCGCCUUCCAAGCCCACUAUGAUCCAAUAAGCCGAUUCCGAUUGGACCAUCAUCUUU